CGCGUGGGAAUCUACCGAGUAGUGGGGGACAACAGUUGGAAACGGCUGCUAAUACCGCAUACGUCUUACGGGAGAAAGAGGGGGAUCUUCGGACCUCUCGCUAUUUGAUGAGCCCGCGUUGGAUUAGCUAGAUGGUGGGGUAAAGGCCUACCAUGGUGACGAUCCAUAGCUGGUCUGAGAGGACGAUCAGCCACACUGGGACUGAGACACGGCCCAGACUCCUACGGGAGGCAGCAGUGGGGAAUAUUGCACAAUGGGCGCAAGCCUGAUGCAGCCAUGCCGCGUGUGUGAAGAAGGCCU
RNAcentral lists this ribosomal RNA (300 nucleotides) under uncultured Candidatus Endobugula sp. RNAcentral describes it as "bacterial SSU rRNA". It matches the Rfam family "Bacterial small subunit ribosomal RNA", at positions 114 to 417 of the family's 1533-position model. The record is from RNAcentral. Lineage: Bacteria; Pseudomonadati; Pseudomonadota; Gammaproteobacteria; Cellvibrionales; Cellvibrionaceae.